AUACGUAGGUGGCGAGCGUUGUCCGGAAUCACUGGGCGUAAAGGGCGCGUAGGCGGUUAAUUAAGUCAGGUGUGUAAACCGCAGGCUUAACCUGAGGAUUGCACCUGAUACUGGAUAACUUGAGUGCAGGAGAGGGCAGUGGAAUUCCUAGUGUAGCGGUGAAAUGCGUAGAUAUUAGGAGGAACACCAGUGGCGAAGGCGGCUGCCUGGACUGCAACUGACGCUGAGGCGCGAAAGCGUGGGGAGCAAACAGGAUUAGAUACCCUGGUAGUCCACGCCGUAAACGAUGGGUACUAGGUGUAGGAGGUAUCGACCCCUUCUGUGCCGGAGUUAACACAAUAAGUACCCCGCCUGGGGAGUACGGCCGCAAGGUUGAA
This 377-nucleotide ribosomal RNA is filed under the name uncultured bacterium. RNAcentral describes it as "bacterial SSU rRNA". It matches the Rfam family "Bacterial small subunit ribosomal RNA", at positions 523 to 898 of the family's 1533-position model. The record is from RNAcentral.